UACGAAGGGGGCUAGCGUUGUUCGGAAUUACUGGGCGUAAAGCGCACGUAGGCGGGUCGUUAAGUCAGGGGUGAAAUCCUGGAGCUCAACUCCAGAACUGCCUUUGAUACUGAAGAUCUUGAGUUCGGGAGAGGUGAGUGGAACUGCGAGUGUAGAGGUGAAAUUCGUAGAUAUUCGCAAGAACACCAGUGGCGAAGGCGGCUCACUGGCCCGAUACUGACGCUGAGGCACGAAAGCGUGGGGAGCAAACAGG
Molecule: ribosomal RNA, 253 nt
Filed under: uncultured bacterium
Lineage: Bacteria
Description: partial 16S ribosomal RNA
Rfam family: Bacterial small subunit ribosomal RNA
Source: RNAcentral